AUCCGGCUGAUGAGUCUCAAAUAGAACGAAACAUGCGUCCUGUAU
RNAcentral lists this non-coding RNA (45 nucleotides) under Schistosoma mansoni. The record is from RNAcentral. Lineage: Eukaryota; Metazoa; Platyhelminthes; Trematoda; Strigeidida; Schistosomatidae.